UAUAAGAAUGCCUUAUUUUGAUCGGUUGGUCUCAUCUCUGCUGAGAUCUUGGCCUAAACUUUUGGUUUGCUUCUCAAAAUCUGCAAGGGACACAAGAUGCAACAGAAAUGAGUAAUAAGAAUGAGGAAGCAUUUCUUUUACUGACUUGAAAUUAUUCGCUGGAAUAUGGUCCUGGUUUGUUGCUACACUCCUGGUUUUGCUUAUUGUGGGAUGAGAAAAUUCUCUUUUUAUCGGUUUGUAAGAUUUAAUGUAGGUUUUAGCUCAUCUUGCUGGUAAAGGUCAGUGUUGCUUGUCCUAGAGAUCUAGGUUCAAUCCUUAUCUUCACCAUAGUUUAAAUGGUUAUGGUAGUUGAGGAAAGAUAUAUUGUAAGGCUUAUUGCCUAACAGAUAUAUUAUAAUUUAAUUAUCAAAUUUUGGUUUGAUUUAUG
This 427-nucleotide long non-coding RNA is filed under the name Phoenix dactylifera (date palm). RNAcentral describes it as "long non-coding RNA (PDAC_LNC019706)". Lineage: Eukaryota; Viridiplantae; Streptophyta; Magnoliopsida; Arecales; Arecaceae. The record is from RNAcentral.